GGCUCCGCGAGCGUAAAGCAUGAUUAUAAUUGCAGUAUUUGUUAAAUAUUUACUCUAUGCCAAGUACUGGGGUAGAUAAUUAGAUCUGAUAAGGUUUCUGUCCAACGUGGGUUUGCAGCCAAAGAGGAAAGGAGACCAGGGAUUUAAUCCCCAUUUUACAGACGAGGAAACUGAGCCCCAGGGAUAAUAUUAAGCGAUUUGUCCAAAGUCACACAGGAGGCAAAUGACAGAGCUGGGAUUAGAGCCCAGGACUUCUAACUACCAGUUCUGUAUUCUUUCCACUUGACCACACUGAAAAGUCACCUCUUGAAAAGUCAUCUCAGUCAUCCUACUGACUCUGGAAGGCGCCCAUCCUAGUCGGACAAAAAAUUAUCCAGAAGUUAAAGUUUGCAUGACUGGUCCAACUGGUCCCACCCCCAUGUGCUAUUUUCCCCCACAUCCCCACCCCCACCUAGGCUUCUGCUGAGUUAUUCACCUUCACCUGAGAGCCUUAUUGCUAGGAAGGUAUUUCACUUCCCUUCCGUGUUCGCAGAAACCGGCAUCCAAUUUAGCGAUCUUCAUCUUUAACUGCUAUUUCAAAUACCUGUUCAUAACCAAAAGGUAAACUUAUAUUCAUCACCGUUCCAAAUAAAAAAACCCAUCCCCAAAACCCCGCUUCCGGUGACGCGAUAGUGGGGAUUCCCGAUUUCGAACGAAACCGUUUAUGACCUCACAAAGGGACUUGGGGCUUACAUAAUUCCCCUCAACUUGGAGCGGGGCGACUGAUUAGAUCCAUUAUUUCCGCGUGGAGGGGACUUCACACCGACCGAGACCUGUAGCUAUUAGCUUCCACGACACCCUCCCAACCCUCUAUGGAACAGAGUGGAGGAUUCAAAGAAAGUCUUAUCCUUUUCCCGACUCGGCGCUCCUCCUCCAGGAAGGAUCCGGACACAGAAGGCCCCUUGGACAGUGAGGGAAGUCGGACUCCCCAGCUGAGCUCCAGCGCUCUAGACUUCUCGGCCUCACAGAACCCUAGACCUCUCGCCCCACUCCCAACAAAUGCAACAGCUGUCCGUCCGUGGUCAACAAACCUCUUUUGCCCUCUUUCUCUUAGGGAAGUGAAGGAUCUCUGAGGGAUAAUAAUAAUAAUAAUAAUGUCGGUAUUUGUUAAGCGCUUACAGGGAUGGGC
Molecule: long non-coding RNA, 1168 nt
Filed under: Ornithorhynchus anatinus (platypus)
Lineage: Eukaryota; Metazoa; Chordata; Mammalia; Monotremata; Ornithorhynchidae
Description: lncRNA (ENSOANG00000048504.1)
Source: RNAcentral